RNAcentral lists this long non-coding RNA (752 nucleotides) under Nicotiana benthamiana. RNAcentral's name for it is "long non-coding RNA (NBEN_LNC003163)". Lineage: Eukaryota; Viridiplantae; Streptophyta; Magnoliopsida; Solanales; Solanaceae. The record is from RNAcentral.
UUUUUUUAUUUAUUUAUUAAUAUAAUAAUAGAAAAAGGAAAAUUACAACAAAUAGGAGAAAUAAAAUAAGACGGAUUACGGCGGUAAUGUUACCCAUAUAACACCGCCGGCAUAGACCUUACCUUAGCUAUCCUAUUGAGGCAAAGGCCUCCUGGACUAGCAAGCAUGUAAAAAGAAGGAACUCGCAAGAACUAAGAAUUGACUGAUCAUUACAGAGUUUAUAAUAUACUAUGUGAUGAUAUUACAUAGAAUUAUACUAAUGUGAUGGUAAAAUAAAAAGAUAAGGAACUUUUUUCUCAGUUGUGAUGAAAGUUUCGAUUUGUAGAAGAUGUCUUCUUUCACAUUUUUCAGGAAUUCUUCAAAAUUCAUACUUUAUUCUUGGAUUUCAAAAGUAACGUUUGAUCAACCUGUUUUUGUUUUGCCUUUCGCAUUGGGGGCCUCCUUAUGUUGACGUCUUCGAUCACCCUGCCGUCCCAACUUCUUUCCCUUUGACGAGGCUCUGCUUUAACAUUGUUUCUUGGAGCAAAAAUUGAGGUAUUAUAGUUUAAUCUACUGAAUACAGCAUCCCAGCUCUCCUCAUCUUUUUUGUUGCUUGAAAUUGAGGGUUCCCCGUACUCUUUGAUUGACAGUAAAGCUGUAUUGUUUCCUGCUUUGUUUGCUGCAGUAUGUUGCAGUUUUGCCAUUGUGGAUUGCUUCACUGUUUCAAUUGGAAAAAUUUCUUCCCCGCUGUAUAUACUGGAUGUAGAGAUGGG